Molecule: non-coding RNA, 23 nt
Filed under: Cricetulus griseus (Chinese hamster)
Lineage: Eukaryota; Metazoa; Chordata; Mammalia; Rodentia; Cricetidae
Source: RNAcentral
AUUAGACAGUAGAGGACCCUGAG